Paramuricea clavata is the source of this 81-nucleotide non-coding RNA. Lineage: Eukaryota; Metazoa; Cnidaria; Anthozoa; Malacalcyonacea; Plexauridae. The record is from the annotation of a GenBank genome assembly.
CUGAAGAAUAUAAGGAGAAUUUCGACGUUUCCUUCGCUAGAAACGUCGAAAUUCUCCUUAUAUUUUUCAGGUAGUAAUUAU